GGCCUAUCAGCUUGUUGGUGGGGUAAUGGCCUACCAAGGCGUCGACGGGUAGCCGGCCUGAGAGGGUGGACGGCCACAUUGGGACUGAGACACGGCCCAGACUCCUACGGGAGGCAGCAGUGGGGAAUAUUGCACAAUGGGCGCAAGCCUGAUGCAGCGGCGCCGCGUGGGGGAUGAAGGCCUUCGGGCUGUAAACUCCUUUCAGCCAUGACGAAGCUGGCCUUGUUGGGUCAGUGACGGUAGUGGUAGAAGAAGCACCGGCUAACUACGUGCCAGCAGCCGCGGCAAUACGUAGGGUGCGAGCGUUGUCCGGAAUUACUGGGCGUAAAGAGCUCGUAGGUGGUUUGUCACGUCGUCUGUGAAAUUCCGGGGCUUAACUCCGGGCGUGCAGGCGAUACGGGCAUAACUUGAGUACUGUAGGGGAGACUGGAAUUCCUGGUGUAGCGGUGAAAUGCGCAGAUAUCAGGAGGAACACCGAUGGCGAAGGCAGGUCUCUGGGCAGUUACUGACGCUGAGGAGCGAAAGCAUGGGUAGCGAACAGGAUUAGAUACCCUGGUAGUCCAUGCCGUAAACGGUGGGCGCUAGGUGUGGGGGUCUUCCACGACUUCCGUGCCGUAGCUAACGCAUUAAGCGCCCCGCCUGGGGAGUACGG
This 652-nucleotide ribosomal RNA is filed under the name uncultured Corynebacterium sp. Its description in RNAcentral is "bacterial SSU rRNA". It matches the Rfam family "Bacterial small subunit ribosomal RNA", at positions 235 to 885 of the family's 1533-position model. The record is from RNAcentral. Lineage: Bacteria; Bacillati; Actinomycetota; Actinomycetes; Mycobacteriales; Corynebacteriaceae.